This 460-nucleotide ribosomal RNA is filed under the name uncultured bacterium. RNAcentral describes it as "partial 16S ribosomal RNA". It matches the Rfam family "Bacterial small subunit ribosomal RNA", at positions 338 to 795 of the family's 1533-position model. The record is from RNAcentral.
CCUACGGGAGGCAGCAGUGAGGAAUAUUGGUCAAUGGGCGCGAGCCUGAACCAGCCAAGUAGCGUGAAGGAUGAAUGCCCUACGGGUUGUAAACUGCUUUUGUAAAGGAAUAAAGUGAGGGACGUGUGCCGGGUUGUAUGUACCUUAUGAAUAAGGAUCGGCUAACUCCGUGCCAGCAGCCGCGGUAAUACGGAGGAUCCCAGCGUUAUCCGGAUUUAGUGGGUUUAAAGGGUGCGGAGGUGGUUUGUUAAGUCAGGUGUGAAAGUUUGGGGCUCAACCCUAACAGUGCAGUUGAUACUGGCAGCCUUGAGUUCAGUUGAGGUAGGCGGAAUUCGUGGUGUAGCGGUGAAAUGCUUAGAUAUCACGCAGAACUCCGAUUGCGAAGGCAGCCUACCAAACUGCCACUGACGUUGAUGCUCGAAAGUGUGGGUAUCAAACAGGAUUAGAUACCCCAGUAGUC